Molecule: ribosomal RNA, 253 nt
Filed under: uncultured bacterium
Lineage: Bacteria
Description: partial 16S ribosomal RNA
Rfam family: Bacterial small subunit ribosomal RNA
Source: RNAcentral
UACGUAGGAUGCAAGCGUUGUCCGGAAUUAUUGGGCGUAAAGAGCGCGCAGGCGGUUUUACAAGUCAGAUGUGAAAUAUCCGGGCUUAACCCGGAGGGGUCAUUUGAAACUGUAAGACUAGAGUACAGCAGAGGAUAGCGGAAUUCCCGGUGUAGUGGUGAAAUGCGUAGAUAUCGGGAGGAACACCAGUGGCGAAGGCGGGUCUCUGGGCCGAUACUAACGCUGAGGAGCGAAAGCGUGGGGAGCAAACAGG